Molecule: ribosomal RNA, 433 nt
Filed under: uncultured bacterium
Lineage: Bacteria
Description: partial 16S ribosomal RNA
Rfam family: Bacterial small subunit ribosomal RNA
Source: RNAcentral
AACGAACGCUGGCGGCAUGCCUAACACAUGCAAGUCGAACGAGACCUUCGGGUCUUGUGGCGCACGGGUGCGUAACGCGUGGGAACCUGCCCUUAGGUUCGGAAUACCUCCCCGACAGGGGUGCUAAUACCGGUUAAUGUCUUCGGACCAAAGAUUUAUCGCCUUUGGAUGGGCCCGCGUUGGAUUAGCUUGUUGGUAGGGUAAAAGCCUACCACGGCGUGGAUACAUAGCUGGUAUGAGAGGAUGCUAAGCCACACUGCGAGUGAGACACGGCCCAGACUACUACGGAAGGGAGGAGUGGGGAAUAUAGGAAAAUGGGGGAAAGGAUGAAGGAGCAAUGGCGCGAGAGUGAUGAAGGCGGGAGGGAAGAAAAGCAGGUUUACACGGGAUGAUAAUGACAGUACCGGGAGAAUAAGCACCGGCUAACUCCGUG